Molecule: long non-coding RNA, 291 nt
Organism: Cornus florida
Lineage: Eukaryota; Viridiplantae; Streptophyta; Magnoliopsida; Cornales; Cornaceae
Exons: 2
Source: RefSeq, a predicted model, not a curated record
AUGAAAGAGAAAUAAAUUAGAGAUAAAAGAGAGCAGAGAAGGAAAAAAAUAGAAGAAGCAAUCACACAGUGUCGAGAGACACACAGAGAGGGCCAAGCUUGACUCUUUGACGAUAUAAUGAUUAAUUCUUUUACAGUUUUCAGGUACCGAGGAUGAACUUGGAUUGCUAGUAGCGGGCUUAGGUGGAAGAGUUGGUGUUGAGGAUUUUUAUUUAAUUAUUUAGAGAUUUUUGUAUAUUUAAUUGAGGAAAUUGAUUGUUGUAUCAAUAAAGGAUAUUUUAUUUCUUUUUGA